Non-coding RNA from Gymnogyps californianus (California condor), 73 nucleotides. The record is from the annotation of a RefSeq genome assembly. Lineage: Eukaryota; Metazoa; Chordata; Aves; Accipitriformes; Cathartidae.
GCCCGGCUAGCUCAGUCGGUAGAGUGUAAGACUCGUAAUCUCAGGGUUAUGGGUUUGAGCGCCACGUUGGGCA